GAUGAAGAACGUAGCGAAAUGCGAUAAGUAAUGCGAAUUGCAGAAUUCAGUGAAUCAUCGAAUCUUUGAACGCACAUUGCGCCCGCUAGUAUUCUGGCGGGCAUGCCUGUCUGAGCGUCAUUUCAAACCUCGCCCCCGGCUUUUGCUGGGAGCGGUGUUGGGGAUCGGCCGCCCGUCACUGGGAGGCCGGCCCCGAAAUAGAGUGGCGACCACGCCGUGUGCUCCUCUGCGUAGUAGUAAAUCACCUCGCAGGCGGACAGCGGUGCGGCCUGCCGUAAAACCCCCAACUCUUUCUGGUUGACCUCAGAUCAGGUAGGAAUACCCGCUGAACUUAAGCAUAUCAAUAAGCGGAGA
RNAcentral lists this unclassified non-coding RNA (354 nucleotides) under soil metagenome. Its description in RNAcentral is "partial contains 5.8S ribosomal RNA, internal transcribed spacer 2, and large subunit ribosomal RNA". The stretch from base 1 to 120 matches the Rfam family "5.8S ribosomal RNA", at positions 35 to 154 of the family's 154-position model. The record is from RNAcentral.